UCUAUAUGUUUUCACUCCUAUAAUUUUAGGUUUUUCUUUCCCAUUUGAUAAUAGUCUAUCCUUAUUGUUUGUUUCAUCUCCUCCUCCUCAUUAUCUUAACCACUUCUUAUCAAGGCCUCCUUCUAGACAGGGUUUUAGGCCCUAUCAGUGUGGCUUGUACUAGACCUACAACGACCUACAAGUUUUACAGAUAGGAAACUGAAGCUAAGGUAGAGGGUUAGGCCAGAUAAUGGCUCGCAAAGAUGUCCACACUAAUCUCCAGAACCUGGAAAUAUGUUUUACCUUAUAUGGCCAAAGGGACUUUGCAGCCAGAAAUUUGACAAAGAGGAAAGUCACCGGCUUCAGAGUCAAAGAAGAGACUACAAGGAAAAAAUGCAGGCGAUCCCAGGAGCUGGGAAAGAGAAGGAAACAGAGUCUUCUCUAGAGCUUCCAGUAUGAACACAGCCUUGUCAACAAUUUAAUUUUAGCCUGGGUCUCGCCAGAGACCAGAGCUGCAAGCCUUCAUCUUUUGUCUUAAAUAUCUCGCACGGUGUAUACUUCUUGAGAGAAUCCAGUUUAUAAAUGAUAGUAGAAAAAUACACAUAGUUGACGUGACCCUGCUGUAGUACUCCAUCAACAAUGAGUUUGAAAAGCAAGAGAUGAAAAUUGAAAAACGCAAGACAAAGAUUUGUAAAUAUUGACGAAACAAAGGACACUUUAGGAAGGAUUCCAAGAACUCCCUGUACUUUCAAUACCUUCACUUUGGAGUUACCUUCAAAGAGGCUAAGAUUGUAGCUGAAAACGGUCCAGCUUCUCCCACACCUUGAGAGACUGCGUUGCUGUAAGGUAACCUUCAGGACGGAAAACAGCAGCGGGGGUGUGGGAUGGGGAAAGUGGUUGGAUGGCUGAAAGUAUUGUAACACAGUACUGAACUUCUUGUUUUGCACAAAUGUUUAUGGAAUAAAGUGUCUUCUUUUCCACCGUGAGAAUUUCUGAAUAUUAUGUCUGAAGGCUGAAUAAGUAAAGGAUUAACAAAUAGGUAAACAUCAAACAGGUUGCUAAAUACUGUCAGAGAACACUAAAGGUAAUCACAAAUUACCUUUUCAUUGAAGAGUACUUUUAAAACGGUAUAUGUUCUCUGAACAUCCGUGAUUAUUCAAAGAAGGCCAGUUCUGAAUUUGGGGGGAGUGGCCUAUUGACUCCUCAAGGUUGAAUUUUUGUGGAAUUAUUCCAUGAUCACUUUUGGUGGGUGCCAUCUUCCUCAGCCCUGACCACGAGAACGAAGGUGCUUUCCUUCAGAUACAGGGCAUCCUCCUAACAAAAAUACCAAAACCAACCAACCAACCAACAAAAAGAGCUAUUCUCCCAUCAACAGAAAGCUAAAAAAUAGGAAAGUAUUAAAAAAAAAAAAAAAAA
Molecule: long non-coding RNA, 1395 nt
Organism: Lynx canadensis (Canada lynx)
Lineage: Eukaryota; Metazoa; Chordata; Mammalia; Carnivora; Felidae
Exons: 4
Source: RefSeq, a predicted model, not a curated record